CUUCACCGAUCCCAGCCACAGCGGCCGGGUGCGCGGCCGUCCUUGUCCGUACGUGGCGAGGAGCGCCUGGGCCUC
RNAcentral lists this antisense RNA (75 nucleotides) under Streptomyces sp. NRRL WC-3618. RNAcentral's name for it is "ASpks TB sRNA". It matches the Rfam family "ASpks TB sRNA". The record is from Rfam by way of RNAcentral. Lineage: Bacteria; Bacillati; Actinomycetota; Actinomycetes; Kitasatosporales; Streptomycetaceae.